GAGGGUAUAGCUCAGUGGUAGAGUGCUGUGCUUAGCAUGCACGAGGUCCUGGGUUCAAUCCCCAGUACCACUA
Molecule: transfer RNA, 73 nt
Filed under: Camelus bactrianus (Bactrian camel)
Lineage: Eukaryota; Metazoa; Chordata; Mammalia; Artiodactyla; Camelidae
Also listed under: 2 other names
Rfam family: tRNA
About the family: Transfer RNA (tRNA) molecules are approximately 80 nucleotides in length.
Source: Rfam by way of RNAcentral